GCGGCGGACGGGUGAGUAACACGUGGGCAACCUGCCCGCAAGACCGGGAUAACUCCGGGAAACCGGAGCUAAUACCGGAUAACACCGAAGACCGCAUGGUCUUCGGUUGAAAGGCGGCCUUUGGGCUGUCACUUGCGGAUGGGCCCGCGGCGCAUUAGCUAGUUGGUGAGGUAACGGCUCACCAAGGCGACGAUGCGUAGCCGGCCUGAGAGGGUGACCGGCCACACUGGGACUGAGACACGGCCCAGACUCCUACGGGAGGCAGCAGUAGGGAAUCUUCCGCAAUGGGCGAAAGCCUGACGGAGCGACGCCGCGUGAGCGAAGAAGGCCUUCGGGUCGUAAAGCUCUGUUGUGAGGGACGAAGGAGCGCCGUUUGAAGAAGGCGGCGCGGUGACGGUACCUCACGAGAAAGCCCCGGCUAACUACGUGCCAGCAGCCGCGGUAAUAC
RNAcentral lists this ribosomal RNA (448 nucleotides) under Geobacillus sp. E07C015. RNAcentral describes it as "bacterial SSU rRNA". It matches the Rfam family "Bacterial small subunit ribosomal RNA", at positions 95 to 526 of the family's 1533-position model. The record is from RNAcentral. Lineage: Bacteria; Bacillati; Bacillota; Bacilli; Caryophanales; Anoxybacillaceae. RNAcentral also lists the same sequence under 23 other names.